This 437-nucleotide ribosomal RNA is filed under the name uncultured Oscillospiraceae bacterium. RNAcentral describes it as "bacterial SSU rRNA". It matches the Rfam family "Bacterial small subunit ribosomal RNA", at positions 341 to 792 of the family's 1533-position model. The record is from RNAcentral. Lineage: Bacteria; Bacillati; Bacillota; Clostridia; Eubacteriales; Oscillospiraceae.
ACGGGAGGCAGCAGUGGGGAAUAUUGGGCAAUGGGCGAAAGCCUGACCCAGCAAUGCCGCGUGAAGGAAGAAGGUCUUCGGAUUGUAAACUUCUUUUAUGAGGGACGAAGGAAUUGACGGUACCUCAUGAAUAAGCCACGGCUAACUACGUGCCAGCAGCCGCGGUAAUACGUAGGUGGCAAGCGUUAUCCGGAUUUACUGGGUGUAAAGGGCGCGUAGGCGGGGAAGCAAGUCAGAUGUGAAAUCUAUGGGCUUAACUCAUAAACUGCAUUUGAAACUGUUUCUCUUGAGUGCUGGAGAGGUAGAUGGAAUUCCUAGUGUAGCGGUGAAAUGCGUAGAUAUUAGGAAGAACACCAGUGGCGAAGGCGAUCUACUGGACAGUAACUGACGCUGAGGCGCGAAAGCGUGGGGAGCGAACAGGAUUAGAUACCCUGGUA